Molecule: small nucleolar RNA, 124 nt
Filed under: Neotoma lepida (desert woodrat)
Lineage: Eukaryota; Metazoa; Chordata; Mammalia; Rodentia; Cricetidae
Description: Small nucleolar RNA SNORA40
Rfam family: Small nucleolar RNA SNORA40
About the family: The snoRNA ACA 40 belongs to the H/ACA family of snoRNAs and guides the pseudouridylation of 28S rRNA subunit at position U4565. NB This family has a high threshold value to exclude a large number of closely related sequences that do not appear to have conserved H and ACA boxes, and may be pseudogenes.
Source: Rfam by way of RNAcentral
AGAAUUUGUGUGUGUUUGUUCAAAUAAUGGACAAAGGCCAACUAGACAGGUACAAAAAUAAAUCAUUUCUUGCAACCCAGAUUUCAUUGCUCAGUAUGAGUUUUGAUAUAUACAGAUAUAUACA